Molecule: transfer RNA, 65 nt
Filed under: Trichoferus campestris
Lineage: Eukaryota; Metazoa; Arthropoda; Insecta; Coleoptera; Cerambycidae
Description: tRNA-Pro
Source: RNAcentral
UUCAAGGAGUAGUUUAAUUUAAAAUUUUAAUUUUGGAGAUUAAAGAAGGGAUUAGUCCUUUCCUU